CCGGCGCACGGGUGAGUAACGCGUAUGCAACCUGCCUGAUACCGGGGUAUAGCCCAUGGAAACGUGGAUUAACACCCCAUAGUACUUUUAUCCUGCAUGGGAUGUGAGUUAAAUGUUCAAGGUAUCGGAUGGGCAUGCGUCCUAUUAGUUAGUUGGCGGGGUAACAGCCCACCAAGACGAUGACAGGUAGGGGUUCUGAGAGGAAGGUCCCCCACAUUGGAACUGAGACACGGUCCAG
This 238-nucleotide ribosomal RNA is filed under the name uncultured bacterium. RNAcentral's name for it is "partial 16S ribosomal RNA". It matches the Rfam family "Bacterial small subunit ribosomal RNA", at positions 95 to 334 of the family's 1533-position model. The record is from RNAcentral.